AACGAACGUUGGCGGCGUGGAUUAGGCAUGCAAGUCGAACGAAUCCCAGCUUUGUAGCAAUACCGAGCUGGGGGAAGUGGCGAAAGGGGCAGUAAUGCGUGGGUAACCUACCCUGGGGACCGGGAUAGCCUUCCUAACGGAUGGGUAAUACCGGGCGAUCUGUCGAGGGGGCAUCUCCUUGCCAGGAAACGAAUUUCGCCUCGGGAGGGGCUCACGUGAUAUUAGCUUGUUGGCGAGGUAACGGCUCACCAAGGCAAAGAUGUCUAGCGGGUGUGAGAGCACGACCCGCGCCACUGGCACUGAGACACUGGCCAGACACCUACGGGAGGCAG
RNAcentral lists this ribosomal RNA (332 nucleotides) under uncultured Planctomycetota bacterium. RNAcentral's name for it is "bacterial SSU rRNA". It matches the Rfam family "Bacterial small subunit ribosomal RNA", at positions 29 to 351 of the family's 1533-position model. The record is from RNAcentral. Lineage: Bacteria; Pseudomonadati; Planctomycetota.